GAAGUGCGAUAAGUAAUGUGAAUUGCAGAAUUCAGUGAAUCAUCGAAUCUUUGAACGCACAUUGCGCCCCCUGGUAUUCCGGGGGGCAUGCCUGUUCGAGCGUCAUUUCACCACUCAAGCCUCGCUUGGUAUUGGGCGACGCGGUCCGCCGCGCGCCUCAAAUCGACCGGCUGGGUCUUUCGUCCCCUCAGCGUUGUGGAAACUAUUCGCUAAAGGGUGCCGCGGGAGGCCACGCCGUAAAACAACCCCAUUUCUAAGGUUGACCUCGGAUCAGGUAGGGAUACCCGCUGAACUUAAGC
RNAcentral lists this unclassified non-coding RNA (299 nucleotides) under plant metagenome. Its description in RNAcentral is "partial contains 5.8S ribosomal RNA, internal transcribed spacer 2, and large subunit ribosomal RNA". The stretch from base 1 to 105 matches the Rfam family "5.8S ribosomal RNA", at positions 50 to 154 of the family's 154-position model. The record is from RNAcentral.